UUGUCCGGAUUUAUUGGGUUUAAAGGGUGCGUAGGUGGUCUAUUGAGUCAGUGCUGAAAUAUCCCGGCUUAACCGGGAGGGUGGCAUUGAUACUGAUGGACUUGAGUAAAGUUGAGGUGGGCGGAAUUGACGGUGUAGCGGUGAAAUGCUUAGAUAUCGUCAAGAACACCUAUUGCGAAGGCAGCUCACUAAGCUUUAACUGACACUGAGGCACGAAAGUGUGGGGAUCAAACAGG
RNAcentral lists this ribosomal RNA (236 nucleotides) under uncultured bacterium. Its description in RNAcentral is "partial 16S ribosomal RNA". It matches the Rfam family "Bacterial small subunit ribosomal RNA", at positions 541 to 776 of the family's 1533-position model. The record is from RNAcentral.